Molecule: long non-coding RNA, 1425 nt
Filed under: Anser cygnoides (Swan goose)
Lineage: Eukaryota; Metazoa; Chordata; Aves; Anseriformes; Anatidae
Description: lncRNA (ENSACDG00005016683.1)
Source: RNAcentral
UAAAGUCUAACAAACAGCACAGAAAUAAGGUAAAUAAAAUGUUGACUCUAUGUCACCAUGACUUUUUCUGUCAUUUCUGUUAUUCUUGUUUCCAUUGCUGAAAUGUGAAGGAGAUGUUCUUAUGGUAAACACCGAUAGUUUUUCAUCAAUUCUGUGAUGCAAGACAACUAGGACUUAUGUAUGCCUGCUGGAAGAUAUUAUAAAGAGAAAGAUUGAAAAAAAAAAAAAACCAAAAAACGUAUAGCCAUGAAAUAAAAUGAAGGCUACAGUCUAUACUAGAUAUUACUAGAAUAUAACUUUCCUUUUAUGUAGACGUGUGCAAAUUUGAAUCAUGUAAGUAAGGUUUAAGUCAUGUAAUUAAUUGCAACUGUUGUGGUGACAGUCUUAAAUUAAUUAAUUAAUUAAUUUAUUUAUUUAUUUAUUACAGCUGUAGAACUAUUUGGCUUGGGUCAAUAAGAAUAAAUCAACAGAAUUCCUGUAUACUUUCAUGAAAAUAUAACCACACUGCACACACUACUGAGAGUUCCCCCUUUGCCUUUUACCAUAUUACUUUUGUGUUUGCUUUGCUUAGAUAAUAUACAAAAUUUAGAGAUACUAUGAAGAAGGUUGCAUGGAGUCACUUGCCUUCUAACACCUGCUAACUGAAUACUUCAGAUUGUAUGGUCUCUUAUGGGAGUUCACCAUGCUCUGAUGGUCUCUUCUUGAAAUGGGUUCAGCGUAGACUUAGGUGGAAGUUUGAUUGCUAUCUCUGCUGUGUCUACAGAUUCAGCAAAUUAUUGAAUUUCUUUCAAAAUUAAAGUACUGGUGUUUUCGUGUGCUGUAAUUUCUAAACCUUGGAAGAAAAGAAAACCAGACGUUCUCCUCAGUUGAAGACCUUGUUAACAGGUAUCCCACAGAUUCUAUUUAGUCCAUUUAAUGGCUCUACUGCAAGAAUAAUUUGUUGAUUACCAGGGGUUGGCAAUACAUGCUGUAUCUGAUAAUGUGAUGAAUAUUGCAUUCUAAAGGCUUGAUACAUCAUUGUGUUGUUCUGCUACCAUCUGGAUGUCUUGCUUCUGUGAAACCUGCAGAUAGAAAGCCAUGUUUUAAAAGUUCUCAAACUUACUAUAUUUAUCUGUCAUGUCCCAGUGAAAAGCUCUGUAAAGCAGAACUUUGUUAUAGUUUGAGAUUUCUAUGCACCUGUUUUUACGUAUUUAUAACUUCAGUUAGUCUGAUUAAAGCUUUUUUUUAAUAUAAUUUUAAAAUGUUUUAAUAUGUUGGAUAGAUAAAUGCAUAAAGAUAGGAAGUUGUUCACAAUCUCCUUGUUUCCUAACUUUCUAAUCUAUAGGACUCCUAGCAGCUUGUUCAUUGUUUUAUACAACAGAUAUUUCUGUAUGUGACAAACUAGAGAAUAGAUGGAAUAUAUGAAUAAAUAGCUUUUAGAAAACA